Molecule: non-coding RNA, 45 nt
Organism: Schistosoma rodhaini
Lineage: Eukaryota; Metazoa; Platyhelminthes; Trematoda; Strigeidida; Schistosomatidae
Source: Rfam
AUCCAGCUGUCGAGUCCCAAAUAGGGCGAAACGCACGUCCUGGAU